AGAUCUCAAAUCAGGCAGGAUUACCCGCUGA
This 31-nucleotide ribosomal RNA is filed under the name Rhodosporidiobolus nylandii. RNAcentral describes it as "partial 28S ribosomal RNA". The record is from RNAcentral. Lineage: Eukaryota; Fungi; Basidiomycota; Microbotryomycetes; Sporidiobolales; Sporidiobolaceae.